UGGGGAAUAUUGGACAAUGGGCGAAAGCCUGAUCCAGCGACGCCGCGUGGGUGAAGAAGGCCUUCGGGUUGUAAAGCCCUUUAAGCCGGGACGAAAAAGCCGAACCUAAUACGUUCGGCCUUGACGGUACCGGAAGAAUAAGCACCGGCUAACUCUGUGCCAGCAGCCGCGGUAAUACAGAGGGUGCAAGCGUUAAUCGGAUUUACUGGGCGUAAAGCGUGUGUAGGUGGCCGCGUAAGUCGGUUGUGAAAUCCCUGGGCUCAACCUGGGAAUUGCAGCCGAUACUGCGUGGCUCGAGUUCGGUAGAGGGCAGCAGAAUUCCCGGUGUAGCGGUGAAAUGCGUAGAUAUCGGGAGGAAUACCGAUGGCGAAGGCAACUGCCUGGGCCUGAACUGACACUGUGACACGAAAGCGUGGGUAGCAAACAGGAUUAGAUACCCCCGUAGUCC
RNAcentral lists this ribosomal RNA (448 nucleotides) under uncultured bacterium. RNAcentral describes it as "bacterial SSU rRNA". It matches the Rfam family "Bacterial small subunit ribosomal RNA", at positions 355 to 796 of the family's 1533-position model. The record is from RNAcentral.